GCGGCGUAGCUCAAAAGGAAGAGCGCCUGCCUUUCUAGACAUACAUCGUCGCAGAUGGAUGAUACGGGCAGGGAGAUGCGGGUUCAAGUCCCGUCGCCGACA
This 102-nucleotide transfer RNA is filed under the name Aureimonas phyllosphaerae. Its description in RNAcentral is "tRNA-Glu". It matches the Rfam family "tRNA". Rfam says of the family: Transfer RNA (tRNA) molecules are approximately 80 nucleotides in length. Their secondary structure includes four short double-helical elements and three loops (D, anti-codon, and T loops). Further hydrogen bonds mediate the characteristic L-shaped molecular structure. tRNAs have two regions of fundamental functional importance: the anti-codon, which is responsible for specific mRNA codon recognition, and the 3' end, to which the tRNAs corresponding amino acid is attached (by aminoacyl-tRNA synthetases). tRNAs cope with the degeneracy of the genetic code in two manners: having more than one tRNA (with a specific anti-codon) for a particular amino acid; and 'wobble' base-pairing, i.e. permitting non-standard base-pairing at the 3rd anti-codon position. The record is from RNAcentral. Lineage: Bacteria; Pseudomonadati; Pseudomonadota; Alphaproteobacteria; Hyphomicrobiales; Aurantimonadaceae.